Molecule: small nuclear RNA, 141 nt
Organism: Sinocyclocheilus anshuiensis
Lineage: Eukaryota; Metazoa; Chordata; Actinopteri; Cypriniformes; Cyprinidae
Gene: U4
Rfam family: U4 spliceosomal RNA
About the family: U4 small nuclear RNA (U4 snRNA) is a component of the major U2-dependent spliceosome. The structure of U4 snRNA from yeast and human has been reported.
Source: Ensembl
CCCAUUUCGCAGAGGCAAUAUUGUAGCUUAUGAGGUACAUCCGAGGCGCGGUUAUUGCUGGUUGAAAACUUUAGCCAAUACCCCACCAGGAUAACUUGAAAUACAGUCAGCCUUGGCAAUUUUUGCCAGCUUCUCUGGAAG